This is a long non-coding RNA of Pezoporus occidentalis (night parrot), 1069 nucleotides long. RefSeq lists it as uncharacterized. The record is from RefSeq and is a predicted model, not a curated record. Lineage: Eukaryota; Metazoa; Chordata; Aves; Psittaciformes; Psittacidae. The transcript is spliced from 3 exons.
CCUCUGGGCUGGGGCCAAGGGGGAAGGUGCUGCGGGGAGGUGAUGGAUCCUCGUGGGGGGUGAUGGAUCCCCAUGGGAGGUGAUGGAUCCCCAUGGGAGGUGAUGGAUCCCCAUGGGAGGUGAUGGAUCCUCGUGGGGAGGUGAUGGAUCCUCGUGGGGAGGUGAUGGAUCCCCAUGGGAGGUGAUGGGUGCUCAUGGGAGGUGAUGGAUCCCCAUGGGGAGGUGAUGGAUCCCCAUGGGGAGGUGAUGGAUCCUCAUGGGAGGUGAUGGAUCCUCAUGGGAGGUGAUGGAUCCCCAAGGGAGGUGAUGGAUCCCCAAGGGAGGUGAUGGAUCCCCAAGGGAGGUGAUGGAUCCUCAUGGGGAGGUGAUGGAUCCUCAUGGGGAGGUGAUGGAUCCCCAUGGGAGGUGAUGGAUCCUCACGGGGAGGUGAUGGAUCCCCAUGGGAGGUGAUGGAUCCUCAUGGGGGGUGAUGGAUCCUCACGGGGAGGUGAUGGAUCCUCAUGGGAGGUGAUGGAUCCUCAUGGGGAGGUGAUGGAUCCUCAUGGGAGGUGAUGGAUCCUCAUGGGAGGUGAUGGAUCCUCGUGGGGAGGUGAUGGAUCCUCGUGGGGAGGUGAUGGAUCCUCGUGGGGAGGUGAUGGAUCCUCGUGGGGAGGUGAUGGAUCCCCAAGGGAGGUGAUGGAUCCCCAUGGGAGGUGAUGGAUCCUCAUGGGGGGUGAUGGAUCCUCAUGGGGAGGUGAUGGAUCCCCAUGGGAGGUGAUGGGUGCUCAUGGGAGGUGAUGGAUCCCCAUGGGGAGGUGAUGGAUCCUCAUGGGAGGUGAUGGAUCCUCAUGGGGAGGUGAUGGAUCCUCGUGGGAGGUGAUGGAUCCCCAUGGGAGGUGAUGGAUCCUCGUGGGGAGGUGAUGGAUCCUCACGGGGAGGUGAUGGAUCCUCACGGGGAGGUGAUGGAUCCUCAUGGGGAGGUGAUGGAUCCUCGUGGGAGGUGAUGGAUCCCCAUGGGAGGUGAUGGAUCCUCAUGGGGAGGUGAUGGAUCCUCAUGGGAGGUGAUGGAUCCUCAUGGGGAGGUGAUGGA